UACGGAGGAUCCAAGCGUUAUCCGGAAUCAUUGGGUUUAAAGGGUCCGUAGGCGGAUUUAUAAGUCAGUGGUGAAAGUCUGUCGCUUAACGAUAGAAUUGCCAUUGAUACUGUAGAUCUUGAGUUGUUAUGAAGUGGUUGGAAUGAGUAGUGUAGCGGUGAAAUGCAUAGAUAUUACUCAGAACACCUAUUGCGAAGGCAGAUCACUAAUAACUAACUGACGCUGAUGGACGAAAGCGUAGGUAGCGAACAGG
This 253-nucleotide ribosomal RNA is filed under the name uncultured bacterium. RNAcentral describes it as "partial 16S ribosomal RNA". It matches the Rfam family "Bacterial small subunit ribosomal RNA", at positions 524 to 776 of the family's 1533-position model. The record is from RNAcentral.